Molecule: long non-coding RNA, 1489 nt
Organism: Alosa sapidissima (American shad)
Lineage: Eukaryota; Metazoa; Chordata; Actinopteri; Clupeiformes; Clupeidae
Exons: 2
Source: RefSeq, a predicted model, not a curated record
AUUCAUUAGGCAUGCUAAUGACAUUGUAGCUGUUUUUUUCUUUAAUCGUGGAGACAUCUUUUAAAAUGAGUCUACAGGACAAAUUACAUGCAUUUUAUGAAGUAGAACGUUUUUUUCCACAAUUGAUAUUAGAGGGGGAAUUAAACCUGGUGUUCUACUAAGUUAGUGCUAUUAAGCUUAGGCUACAUGAUUGAUAUUAUGCCUUGGUUUAUGCGAUAGAUUUAGAUUUUUUUUAAAUUAUUUGUGUUUGACAGAGCAUUCAAGUUCAUUUCAUGGUAGUGUUUGUAAUUUACCUAGUUUUAAUCUGUAGCCUAACUAUGUUUUUACAGGUGUUCCUGGACAGUUUUGAAACCGAGAUGUCUGAACGCCUCAAAUAAUCAGCAGUAAAGGUAAAUAUUCUUCAUCCAGGACCUUGUCCCAUUACUCUUAAAGCAUAACUCAAGCCAAAAUGCAACCUAGGGUCUUUUUGUGAAUGUACCUGAGUCAAACUUUCGUUUGAAAGCAUAAAUAAGUCAGAAGCGCCACCAUUAAGCUUGACUGUAUUGUCGUUUCUGGGUCAAAUGCCAUUUUGAAUGGGAGUCGUAGGGGCAGAACUAUUUUGAUACAUGAUGAUUUUGAUUCAUGCAUCAAAAUAAUAGGCUAGUGCCCCUACGACUCCCAUUUAAAAUGCCAUUUGACCCGAAAACGAUAAUAUGGUUGUAUUGAAAACAAAGGAAUCUAAGGUAAUCAAAUGCAGAAAACAGGGUGGUUGCACUCAUAUCGGUGCCAAAGUGCACAACGCUUUAAGGAAAGACUACCUGGCCAGGUCUACCCAUACCAGGAUGGCAAACAGAUGGUGUCAAUACCAAUUUGACCCAUAAAAAGUAAAUGGCAAAUAGACAACAGAGACAAAUUCUCUAAUACCAAGGUCAAUGCAUUUGACUGCUGUCCAGCCCCGGGUUGCCACCGAAAACUUUAUGCAUCUUGGACUGGAAGAUGGUGUGCUAGUAAGGAAGCUAGCUACCACAGCCUUUGCCACCACAUCUCAGUGUUGGGAGGGAAGUUCACUCACUGCACAACUCUACCAGCUGUACCUUUCCUCCUCAGCCAUGAUCCGUAACCACCAUGGUUUUCUUUCUGGGCCAGAAGACUUUGCAAACAAAUAAGCAAUAAAUGAUCAUGCAUUACAAAUUUAGCCAUGUUAGACUGUUAAGCUGUUGGCUUGUAGGCUGGGUCUCCAGUAAACAAUUUCAAGCUUAGAGAGCAAAUUCUCUCACCUAGGAGGGUAAACAACUUUUGUUUUUCAUGAAAUCUGCAUUUUGAAUUGAUGGUCUACCAAUGAGGCUGUAGAGUAUCGCGACACAAUAGUGGCAAAAAGCACUUGCGCGAUGAAACAUGCAUUCGGGUGUAUUAUAUUAUAUAUAAUUUCACACACAUAGAUAUUAAAUGUGUGCACACAAAUUCUCUCUGCGCGUGCGCACUCAGAGGAAACUGCUCCCCAAGCAUGGAA